CGGGGGUGGAGGGGGUGGAAUCCACAAGAGGGCGGCGGCGGGGGCGGGGGCGGAGGCGGCGGCGGCUCCCGUCCGCAAGGCCAACAAGGCGCGCAGCAAGCUCUGCGAGAUCAUCUAGUGCCCGCGCGGCUCGGCACGAGAACACUGCAUAGCCCCAGUGCCGUUCCCAAAGGAUAGAGAAGUAAGGCUGAUACAAACUAGAGAGGAAGUAGAUUUCCAGACUGCUUCACGACCAAAAAAAAAAGACAGCCAGUUACCUACAACGUUCGUUCUACGAUAUUUGAUGGCUGUCCCGGAAGACUUACAAUAA
Long non-coding RNA from Schistocerca cancellata (South American locust), 310 nucleotides. RefSeq lists it as uncharacterized. The record is from RefSeq and is a predicted model, not a curated record. The transcript has 2 exons. NCBI's taxonomy places the organism in Eukaryota, Metazoa, Arthropoda, Insecta, Orthoptera, Acrididae.